CCCCUCUCGGGGUCGCACCUGGAGAGUUUCCAGUCCUCUACCAGUCUCGACUACAGGAGGGAGAGGCAAGCAGAGGCCUACCCAUUCCACUCCUGUCUUGGCCCGUGGCUAGUGAGUGGAAGGCAACCUGCUACAGGU
Molecule: small nucleolar RNA, 138 nt
Organism: Tachyglossus aculeatus (Australian echidna)
Lineage: Eukaryota; Metazoa; Chordata; Mammalia; Monotremata; Tachyglossidae
Source: RefSeq, a predicted model, not a curated record